Molecule: long non-coding RNA, 834 nt
Organism: Bicyclus anynana (squinting bush brown)
Lineage: Eukaryota; Metazoa; Arthropoda; Insecta; Lepidoptera; Nymphalidae
Exons: 2
Source: RefSeq, a predicted model, not a curated record
AUUAACACUUUCAUUACCGCUACGAUUUUCACGAUGUUUUCUCGGGAGCCGCCUACAUUUUACGUUGGACUCGCUAGGUGAGUCGCCGGCGCUGCGAUACGAAUCAUUCGACUCGCCACGCGAGUUCAGUGGCAUUGCGUUAGGGUAAAAACUAUGUUCUGUUAUUUUUGUGGCCGUGACAGUGUACGUUACGUGUUUAAAGCAAUUAACUAGUAUAUGGUGUAAUUUAACAAAAAGAAAAUGGCAAGAAACACUAUAAAUAAACGAAAAGGCCACCACAAAACACAAUAACAUAGAACACAAGAAUCUCAAAGUCCAGAAAACGUUUGCCAGGGGUUAAAACAGUAGGUACUCCAACAGGUCCAGUAAUCGAAAGCCAAGUCACAAUGAUAGAAAACAAAUAUACGCGUGCGAUAAGGAAAGGGUCGUGCUUAACACUAAUCUAUAUAUAAAGAAAGUCGGGUUUGUUACAACACUUCACUCGAGAUUGACCAAUGAGAGCUUGGCAAAAACAAUGUUAUCAGUGCUUUUAUUGCUUACUAACCAGAGCGUUCAUGUUAAAAAAUACCGGUUCCUUUUGUUUUGCCGGCAAUUUUUAACAAUGCGAAGGGAUCCUCUUUCAGUUGUAACUCUUAAAGUAAUAGACCGAGAGUUGAGUUUGUGUUUUCUGCACCGUUCGUUUAACAAAAACGCAAGGACAGACUCAAAAACUUAGAAGUACCCAUUUGGUGAACACCAAAUUCGAGCCCCUACAAGGUGUCGAACACAAUCCGCCGUUGUUUUACGAGUGAAUGUGACUUUUGGUAAAAUGAAAAUAAAAGUAUCUACCUUUUA